GUGGGAAUCUUGCGCAAUGGGCGAAAGCCUGACGCAGCCAUGCCGCGUGAAUGAUGAAGGUCGUAGGAUUGUAAAAUUCUUUCACCGGGGACGAUAAUGACGGUACCCGGAGAAGAAGCUCCGGCUAACUUCGUGCCAGCAGCCGCCGUAAUACGAAGGGGGCUAGCGUUGCUCGGAAUUACUGGGCGUAAAGGGCGCGUAGGCGGACAGCUUAGUCAGAGGUGAAAGCCCAGGGCUCAACCUUGGAAUGGCCUUUGAUACUGGCUGUCUUGAGUUUGGGAGAGGUGAGUGUCACUCCCACUGUAGAGGUGAAAGUCGUAGAUAUUCUGACGAACACCCGUGGCGAAGGCGACUCACUGGCCCGAUACUGACGCUGAGGCGCGAAAGCGUGGGGAGCAAACAGGAUUAGAUACCCCAGUAGUCC
RNAcentral lists this ribosomal RNA (424 nucleotides) under uncultured bacterium. RNAcentral's name for it is "partial 16S ribosomal RNA". It matches the Rfam family "Bacterial small subunit ribosomal RNA", at positions 355 to 796 of the family's 1533-position model. The record is from RNAcentral.